UCCCAGCUGUAAACGAUGCAGGCUAGGUGUUGGGACGGCUACGAGCUGUCCCAGUGCCGCAGGGAAGCCAUUAAGCCUGCCACCUGGGAAGUACGGCCGCAAGGCUGAAUUUUCAACGAGGCUCAGAAAAAUCAUUGGGCUUCUUGGAACAGUUCACUUAAAGGAAUUGGCGGGGGAGCACCACAAGGGGUGAAGCUUGCGGUUUAAUUGGAGUCAACUCCGGGAACCUUACCA
RNAcentral lists this ribosomal RNA (234 nucleotides) under uncultured bacterium. RNAcentral describes it as "partial 16S ribosomal RNA". It matches the Rfam family "Archaeal small subunit ribosomal RNA", at positions 745 to 932 of the family's 1478-position model. The record is from RNAcentral.